This 402-nucleotide long non-coding RNA is filed under the name Gossypium raimondii (Peruvian cotton). Its description in RNAcentral is "long non-coding RNA (GRAI_LNC007355)". The record is from RNAcentral. Lineage: Eukaryota; Viridiplantae; Streptophyta; Magnoliopsida; Malvales; Malvaceae.
GACUUUUAUUAAAUUGUUUGUUAAUGCAUAUCAGAAUGAGCCUGUUGGUUCGAGUGGUAAGGGAGUUGGUGUGUUGGAGGUCUUGUGUUUGAAUCUCUGUGCAAGCGUGAAUGUUACUUUUUGUUCGAUUAUCUGAUAGAGUUUCAGUGGAGCAGAAAUUCUGAGGGAGUUAUGAGUAGUGGGAUUUGUGGGAGAAAAAUAGGGGAUUGUAUGGAUAUCUUUUAUUUUUCUUUUCAAUUUUUUUAAUUAUUUUUGUUUUCUCUCUCUUUCUAAUUCCCAAAAUUUUUUUGACAUUCUCUUCUUGUUCUGGCAAAAAUCUAUUGCUUUCUUGCGUUUGAAAUUCUGUCGAAAUUCUGAUUUUCUAUUUCUCGGUGCUUUGUCCGAUUUGGUAAGUGUAAGGGG